This 253-nucleotide ribosomal RNA is filed under the name uncultured bacterium. RNAcentral's name for it is "partial 16S ribosomal RNA". It matches the Rfam family "Bacterial small subunit ribosomal RNA", at positions 524 to 776 of the family's 1533-position model. The record is from RNAcentral.
UACGUAGGGGACAAGCGUUGUCCGGAUUCAUUGGGCGUAAAGAGCGUGUAGGCGGCCAGGUAGGUCGGUUGUGAAAACUGGAGGCUCAACCUUCAGAGGUCGACCGAAACCAUCUGGCUAGAGUCCGGGAGAGGAGAGUGGAAUUCCUGGUGUAGCGGUGAAAUGCGCAGAUAUCAGGAGGAACACCGGUGGCGAAGGCGGUUCUCUGGGCAUGUCCUGACGCUGAGGAGCGAAAGUGUGGGGAGCGAACAGG